RNAcentral lists this ribosomal RNA (450 nucleotides) under uncultured bacterium. RNAcentral describes it as "partial 16S ribosomal RNA". It matches the Rfam family "Bacterial small subunit ribosomal RNA", at positions 354 to 796 of the family's 1533-position model. The record is from RNAcentral.
GUGGGGAAUCUUCCGCAAUGGACGAAAGUCUGACGGAGCAACGCCGCGUGAGUGAUGAAGGUCUUCGGAUUGUAAAGCUCUGUUAAUCGGGACGAAAGAGCCUAGUGUGAAUAAUGCUAGGAAGUGACGGUACCGGAAUAGAAAGCCACGGCUAACUACGUGCCAGCAGCCGCGGUAAUACGUAGGUGGCAAGCGUUGUCCGGAAUUAUUGGGCGUAAAGCGCGCGCAGGCGGAUCCGCCAGUCCAUCUUAAAAGUUCGGGGCUUAACCCAGUGAUGGGAUGGAAACUACAGAUCUAGAGUAUCGGAGAGGAAAGUGGAAUUCCUAGUGUAGCGGUGAAAUGCGUAGAUAUUAGGAAGAACACCAGUGGCGAAGGCGACUUUCUGGACAAAAACUGACGCUGAGGCGCGAAAGCCAGGGGAGCGAACGGGAUUAGAUACCCUGGUAGUCC